RNAcentral lists this ribosomal RNA (492 nucleotides) under uncultured bacterium. RNAcentral describes it as "partial 16S ribosomal RNA". It matches the Rfam family "Bacterial small subunit ribosomal RNA", at positions 29 to 507 of the family's 1533-position model. The record is from RNAcentral.
AGUGAACGCUGGCGGUAGGCCUAACACAUGCAAGUCGAACGGCAGCACAGUAAGAGCUUGCUCUUACGGGUGGCGAGUGGCGGACGGGUGAGGAAUACAUCGGAAUCUACUUUUUCGUGGGGGAUAACGUAGGGAAACUUACGCUAAUACCGCAUACGACCUAUGGGUGAAAGCAGGGGAUCUUCGGACCUUGCGCGAUUGAAUGAGCCGAUGGCGGAUUAGCUAGUUGGCGGGGUAAAGGCCCACCAAGGCGACGAUCCGUAGCUGGUCUGAGAGGAUGAUCAGCCACACUGGAACUGAGACACGGUCCAGACUCCUACGGGAGGCAGCAGUGGGGAAUAUUGGACAAUGGGCGCAAGCCUGAUCCAGCCAUACCGCGUGGGUGAAGAAGGCCUUCGGGUUGUAAAGCCCUUUUGUUGGGAAAGAAAAGCAGCAGGUUAAUACCCCGCUGUUCUGACGGUACCCAAAGAAUAAGCACCGGCUAACUUCGUG